Molecule: ribosomal RNA, 407 nt
Filed under: uncultured bacterium
Lineage: Bacteria
Description: partial 16S ribosomal RNA
Rfam family: Bacterial small subunit ribosomal RNA
Source: RNAcentral
AUUGAACGCUGGCGGCAGGCCUAACACAUGCAAGUCGAGCGGAGCGGCGGACGGGUGAGUAAUGCCUAGGAAUCUGCCUGGUAGUGGGGGAUAGCGUCCGGAAACGGGCGCUAAUACCGCAUACUAUCAGAUGAGCCUAGGUCGGAUUGGCUAGUUGGUGGGGUAAAGGCCUACCAAGGCGACGAUCCGGAACGGGUCUGAGAGGAGGACCAGUCAAAUGGGAACGGAGACACGGUCCAGACUCCAACGGGGGGCAGAAGUGGGGAAUUUUGGACAAGGAGCGAAAGCCUGAUCCAGCCAUGCCGGGUGUGGGUAGAAGGUUUCCGGUUGGUAAAGCACGUUAAGUUGGGAGGCGUUACCAGCAGAAUAAGCACCGGCUAACUUCGUGCCAGCCGCCGCGGUAAUUC